This 468-nucleotide ribosomal RNA is filed under the name uncultured bacterium. Its description in RNAcentral is "partial 16S ribosomal RNA". It matches the Rfam family "Bacterial small subunit ribosomal RNA", at positions 28 to 507 of the family's 1533-position model. The record is from RNAcentral.
GACGAACGCUGGCGGCGUGCUUAAUACAUGCAAGUCGAACGGAAAGGCCCUGCUUUUGUGGGGUGCUCGAUUGGCGAACGGGUGAGUAACGCGUGAGUAACCUGCCCUUGACUUUGGGAUAACUUCAGGAAACUGGGGCUAAUACCGGAUAGGAGCUCCUGCUGCAUGGGGGGGGUUGGAAAGUGUCGGCGGUUGGGGAUGGACUCGCGGCUUAUCGGCUUGUUGGUGGGGUAGUGGCUUACCAAGGCUUUGACGGGUAGCCGGCCUGAGAGGGUGACCGGCCACCUUGGGCCUGCGAUACGGCCCAGACUCCUACGGGAGGCAGCAGUCGGGAAUCUUGCACAAUGGGCGGAAGCCUGAUGCAGAAACGCCCCGUGCGUGAUGACGGCCUUUGGGUUGUAAACCGCUUUCGCCUGUGCCGAAGAGUGAGUGACGGUAAUGGGUAAAGAAGCACCGGCUAACUACGUG